Molecule: transfer RNA, 65 nt
Filed under: Acanthochitona avicula
Lineage: Eukaryota; Metazoa; Mollusca; Polyplacophora; Chitonida; Acanthochitonidae
Description: tRNA-Asn
Source: RNAcentral
UGGAUAAAAGCUUUGUAUAGAGCGUUCGGUUGUUAACUGAAAGGAGUAAAUGAUUACUUAUUCGG